GACUUGAUCUUGACACUUGAAAUUAAUUCUUGAACAUGAAUGGAUACUUGUAAUUAUCAUGAAUCAAAACUUGACUUUGUAGUGGAUUAAUUAAACAUGAUAUGGAAUGCCUUACAUGACAUGGCCAAUGAACUCUUCUCAGAUGAAUCACAGGAAUCAAAACUUGAGUGAAUGACAAGGCUUGAAUGUGCAUAGGUCAUGACUUAAGGGUUUGGGUUGACUUUGGUCAAAGUUGACCAAAAAGUCAA
Molecule: long non-coding RNA, 248 nt
Filed under: Lathyrus oleraceus (garden pea)
Lineage: Eukaryota; Viridiplantae; Streptophyta; Magnoliopsida; Fabales; Fabaceae
Description: Pisum sativum (pea) long non-coding RNA (PSAT_LNC038784)
Source: RNAcentral